RNAcentral lists this ribosomal RNA (253 nucleotides) under uncultured bacterium. RNAcentral's name for it is "partial 16S ribosomal RNA". It matches the Rfam family "Bacterial small subunit ribosomal RNA", at positions 524 to 776 of the family's 1533-position model. The record is from RNAcentral.
UACAGAGGUGGCAAGCGUUGUUCGGAAUUACUGGGCGUAAAGGGCGCGUAGGCGGCCUUCUACGUCGGACGUGAAAUCCCCAGGCUUAACUUGGGAACUGCGUCUGAUACUGGGAGGCUUGAGUGCGGGAGAGGGAUGUGGAAUUCCAGGUGUAGCGGUGAAAUGCGCAGAUAUCAGGAGGAACACCGGUGGCGAAGGCGGAUCUCUGGGCCUUACCUGACGCUGAGGCGCGAAAGCUAGGGGAGCGAACAGG